CACAAAAACACCUUCAUGGGAUCAGAACCCGGAAGUCGCCCGCCCCUGAAGCAGUAAUAAUAAUUAGAAUUUAGAAUAAUAAUAAUUCUUCAUUUUAUUGAAAGGUGCUUUCAGGGCACAGAAAGAAUAAAUGCCAAAGGCUCCCAGUGCAGAGGCUGCAGCAGCAGCAGAGCCUUCAGCCGGAUUCAAAGACUCGGAGGUUCUGAGCGGGAAUGUGGAUCCGGAAGAACCGGAUGUGUUCAGGUUUCAGCGCUCAGCCGAUUUGUGCGCAAAGCGUCUGGAGAGCUGCAGCGAUUCAUGAGGUCAUUUCCGGGUCUCACCGAGUCGUCGUCCGGGUCGGCGCCGGCCGGCAGCAGGCCGCCCUCCAUGGUGGAGCUCCGGAACACGCCUUUGAUCCGGUUCCCGAUCCGGCUGAUACCGAACGCCUCGCCCCGUCGGGACGGAUUCCUGGAGGGCAGGACAGUGAGAACUAGGCUGCCGGCACCAGAACCAGGCAGGCACCAGAACCAGGCCGGCACCAGGCUGCUCCAGACCUGUGGAUCCUGGCGUUUCGGGUCGGCGACUCGGAUCCUCUCAGCAGAUGUCUGAAGUACUGAGAGCCAGAAAAAAACAAACUGGGUCAGAACCAGCCCAAUGGCGGCACUGGGAAAGUAUUCACUCCCAGAUGCUUCAGGCUGGGCGUGGAUUGUGGAGUGGCCUAGUCAAAGCCCAGACUCGGAUCAAUCCGGGUCGGCCUGAAUCAAACUAAAACAUGGGGGUUUGAUCAGGUUUGAUCCGCUUCACAAAAGCUGAUGGAAAGUUGAGGAGAUGGAAAACGUGCGGAAAGCCCAGGUUAGACGGCUGCUUGACAGAGGAAGUUUUCCUUCCACACAACCUUCCAUCAGCGAGUUGGAACCGGGCCGGGAACCGGGCCUCACCUCGUCACUGUGGCAGAACAUGGGCGUGAAAAACUUCCUCCAGCAGGGAGAGAACCAGUUCGUAGGCCUGGAACAGGAAGGGCUUCUUCUGCAGCGCCACCACCUGGAUGUAGGGCGCCACCGCCACUGCAACGGAGCACAGGGUCCAAUUAGAGGUUCUGGUGGUUCUGACGGGUCUGGGUUCGCUUAAAAACCACCUAAUGUGUUUGUUUUCCUUUUAUUGACUUUAAUAUUAAUUGAAAUAUUUUAUUUUCUAA
This is a long non-coding RNA of Poeciliopsis prolifica (blackstripe livebearer), 1174 nucleotides long. RefSeq lists it as uncharacterized. The record is from RefSeq and is a predicted model, not a curated record. NCBI's taxonomy places the organism in Eukaryota, Metazoa, Chordata, Actinopteri, Cyprinodontiformes, Poeciliidae. The transcript is spliced from 2 exons.